UAGUGUUGGCGAAGACGCAGGUGGCGCGAGGACCGAUCCAUCGAGCCCGAGCGACCACUAAGAGCGUGGCCGUUGUCGUGUGAGGCCGCGCCUUUUGCGUGUGUCAGUCUUCCCGUCGCAUCUGCAGUUGGAAGUGUUGCCUUGCCAUAUGGCACCAAGAAGUCGUGAUAUAGUAAACGCCUAUAGAAAAUGUGAUUAUUUGAAGGUCAAGCUUUAGAAGUGAGACUAAUGUGAAGUUCAUACAGACAUGUUUCACUGAACUGGUUACAAGUGAACUAGCAAAGAUCGCUUUGGUACAAGACUGUGAUGUAACGCCAAGCCAAGACACUUGCCUUAAAAAUAGUGCAGUACAAAUUCCCAAUGCUGUGAUCGCUCAUCGUUCAAUUUUAAGACUAUUAAAGAGACGCUGAUCCACAAGAAGAAAGUACAAUUAUCGACGUGAUAAAAAUAGAUAAGAUUUACAAACACACUUUUAUUCGUUGUUUUCGCUGAACGC
Molecule: non-coding RNA, 496 nt
Organism: Penaeus vannamei (Pacific white shrimp)
Lineage: Eukaryota; Metazoa; Arthropoda; Malacostraca; Decapoda; Penaeidae
Source: RefSeq, a predicted model, not a curated record